UACCAGCGCCCCGAGUGGUCGGGACGAUUAUUGGGCCUAAAGCAUCCGUAGCCGGUUCUACAAGUCUUCCGUUAAAUCCACCUGCUUAACAGUUGGGCUGCAGAGGAUACUAUAGAGCUAGGAGGCGGGAGAGGCAAGCGGUACUUAGUGGGUAGGGGUAAAAUCCGUUGAUCCACUGAAGACCACCAGUGGCGAAGGCGGCUUGCCAGAACGCGCUCGACGGUGAGGGAUGAAAGCUGGGGGAGCAAACCGGAUUAGAAACCCGCGUAGUCC
RNAcentral lists this ribosomal RNA (273 nucleotides) under uncultured bacterium. RNAcentral describes it as "partial 16S ribosomal RNA". It matches the Rfam family "Archaeal small subunit ribosomal RNA", at positions 474 to 747 of the family's 1478-position model. The record is from RNAcentral.